This 217-nucleotide long non-coding RNA is filed under the name Manihot esculenta (cassava). RNAcentral's name for it is "long non-coding RNA (MESC_LNC009402)". The record is from RNAcentral. Lineage: Eukaryota; Viridiplantae; Streptophyta; Magnoliopsida; Malpighiales; Euphorbiaceae.
CAUCAGGUAGAGAGACUUUGAUCUCACACAACAGCCAAAAGUGUCAAAACACCAUGACGAUCUCAAGAAAAUGAGCUCGGUACUGGUAAACACAAUAGGCAGCUCGAAUAAGGCUCAACAAGAGAGCAAGAAAUUAAGUCCGACUUUACAAAAGAGCUCGGGGCACCAACGUGAAGAAAGUGAAAUUCCGAACUUCGGAGCUCGCGAUAUAGACACC